UUCGUAGGCGGUUCGUUAAGUCUGAUGUUAAAGAUCGGGGCCCAACCCUGAGAGUGCAUUGGAUACUGGCGAGCUUGAGUGCAGUAGAGGCGAGUGGAAUUCCCAGUGUAGCGGUGAAAUGCGUAGAUAUUGGGAAGAACACCGGUGGCGUAGGCGACUCGCUGGGCUGUAACUGACGCUGAGGAACGAAAGCCAGGGGAGCGAAUG
RNAcentral lists this ribosomal RNA (207 nucleotides) under uncultured bacterium. Its description in RNAcentral is "partial 16S ribosomal RNA". It matches the Rfam family "Bacterial small subunit ribosomal RNA", at positions 568 to 774 of the family's 1533-position model. The record is from RNAcentral.